RNAcentral lists this unclassified non-coding RNA (378 nucleotides) under plant metagenome. Its description in RNAcentral is "partial contains 5.8S ribosomal RNA, internal transcribed spacer 2, and large subunit ribosomal RNA". The stretch from base 1 to 105 matches the Rfam family "5.8S ribosomal RNA", at positions 50 to 154 of the family's 154-position model. The record is from RNAcentral.
GAAAUGCGAUAAGUAAUGUGAAUUGCAGAAUUCAGUGAAUCAUCGAAUCUUUGAACGCACCUUGCGCUCCUUGGUAUUCCUUGGAGCAUGCCUGUUUGAGUAUCAUGAAAUCUUCAAAGUAAAUCUUUUGUUAACUCAAUUGGUUUCUACUUUGGUAUUGGAGGUCUUUGCAGCUUCACACCUGCUCCUCUUUGUUCAUUAGCUGGAUCUCAGUGUUAUGCUUGGUUCCACUCGGCGUGAUAAGUUAUCUAUCGCUGAGGACACUGUAAAAGGUGGCCAAGGUAAAUGCAGAUGAAACGCUUCUGAUAGUCCAUUGACUUGGACAAUACUUUUAUGAUCUGAUCUCAAAUCAGGUAGGACUACCCGCUGAACUUAAGC